GGGUCGAUGCCCGAGCGGUUAAUGGGGACGGACUGUAAAUUCGUUGACAAAAUGUCUACGCUGGUUCAAAUCCAGCUCGGCCCA
This is a non-coding RNA of Brachypodium distachyon (stiff brome), 84 nucleotides long. NCBI's taxonomy places the organism in Eukaryota, Viridiplantae, Streptophyta, Magnoliopsida, Poales, Poaceae. The record is from Rfam.